CGCUCUAAAGGAAAGCAGCUCUGACCUGC
This 29-nucleotide transfer RNA is filed under the name Stellifer lanceolatus (American stardrum). Its description in RNAcentral is "partial tRNA-Leu". The record is from RNAcentral. Lineage: Eukaryota; Metazoa; Chordata; Actinopteri; Sciaenidae.